RNAcentral lists this ribosomal RNA (179 nucleotides) under uncultured marine bacterium. RNAcentral's name for it is "partial small subunit ribosomal RNA". It matches the Rfam family "Bacterial small subunit ribosomal RNA", at positions 333 to 527 of the family's 1533-position model. The record is from RNAcentral.
GGAAUCCUACGGGAGGCCAGCAGUGGGGAUACUUUGACAAUGGGCGCAAGCCUGAUCUAGCCAUGCCGCGUGAGUGACGAAGGUCUUAGGAUCGUAAAGCUCUUUCGCCAGAGAUGAUAAUGACAGUAUCUGGUAAAGAAACCCCGGCUAACUCCGUGCCAGCAAGCCGCGGUAAUAUU